Molecule: long non-coding RNA, 871 nt
Organism: Coregonus clupeaformis (lake whitefish)
Lineage: Eukaryota; Metazoa; Chordata; Actinopteri; Salmoniformes; Salmonidae
Exons: 3
Source: RefSeq, a predicted model, not a curated record
UUGUCAAUAGAUAUCGCUUUCCUACCCCGUCCUCCAAGUUUGGAUGAAUGGACCAACCAGACCCUCAAGACUGCCAUGGGCAAGUCCCUUGACGGGUACCAGGAACGGUGGGAGAACAUCCUGAAGGUAAUUAUCUUUGAACACAACAACAGCGUCCAGGCCUCCAUCGAGUAUGGACGGGAGCCGCAGCUGUUGACUGAGGUAAACAAUGCAAUUGUAUAUACAAUUAUUCCAUAUACUGUCGUCUUUCAAAUUUGUGAUUGACUUAGUGUUGUUGUUUGUCUAUUGCUAUUUUUGUAUAACAUACUUUCAGAUCACUGAAACCCCACCUGCCUACUCCUCUCUACACUUGUGGCAGUUGUCGAACCAGAUCAGAACGCCUUCAAGGACCAUAUUCAGGCACAGACUGAGAAGGAUGUGGAGGUUUUUGACCAGGUGAGACUGAACAUCGACAAGGCGCAGGAGAAACAGAAGGAGAGCUACCGGAGGAGAAUCAAUAAGGGGACCAAGUGCUUCGACAUCCGGGCAAAUUACUUGGUUUGGAAGAAGGACGAAAGGAAGGCGAGACCUGGGGACCAGCUUGAGGACCUAGGGGUUCUGCCCAACACCCAGACGUGGAUCCACCUGAUGUCCUCCAUUACCAACCACCCUCCAACUUUUCAUUACAUCAUCUACAGCUACUGUUAUUGUCAUGUUAUUAUCUGCACUUUUUGGCUGUGGCCAUUAGUUGGCAUGACAGGCCCACAACCUCCCAAAACAAUGUCUGUUGGUCCUUACAAAAAAAGAUAGCAGUUUUGAAACUAAAAUGAAAGUGCAGUAAAUGCAGUCGACUGUGAUAUUUUGGACGCAGUAAAUUGCAGAAUAACUGCAG